Long non-coding RNA from Anser cygnoides (Swan goose), 1612 nucleotides. The record is from Ensembl. NCBI's taxonomy places the organism in Eukaryota, Metazoa, Chordata, Aves, Anseriformes, Anatidae.
CUGUGCUUCUCUUAGGAAUGAGUAGGCCUGAAAUAAGGCCUGUCUCUGGCUGAGUGCAGAAGUCAGUUACUCAUAAAGAAAAUCUGAGGGUGAGAAAUUGGCCUGUUGCCUGCACUGUCCAGAGCACGGCCUUCACAGGCAUUCAGAAGAUACUGGAGGUGACCACAGCCUUCCACCCCAGAAGGCUCUCACAAAAAAAGGAGGGCUUUGAGAUCUACUCUGUGGCAAGUGUGGUGCCGCAGGUCCUCAAUACAUUGCACAGCCACACCUGUGUGUUUUCCAGUGCUGUGACUGACAGAGAUCAGGGGUUUAGGGGGUGACUUCACCUGUGGAGUCAGUUUCAGUGCUUGCAGUGAGGAGGAAAGAGUUUUGGGAGGGCAGCUCUUUGUGUAGCAACAACCAGGAAAGACUGCUUCUCAUAGAAGUAAAGAAAUUAUUUGUCAGCUGGUCAGAGAUCUCAGCCCUGGGCUCAUAAGGUUUACUUCUACACAGCUCUGAGAGACACAAGCAGUUUCCUGUCAUGAAAACCAUCUGUCUUGCUUUUGGGGUCUUUGUUCCCAGAGAUGGGGUCUCUGCUCCCACUGGCCUGGAGUUAGCUUCCCCCUUCAUCAGGUGCCCCAGCAGUUGGGGAAACCAAGUUGCAUCAAGUUCAAGGAACAGGUCUCCAUUUGCACAGUGUCUGUAGCAGAACCAGGACCAGAAUUUUUGAUCUUUGACUGUUGCUCUAGAUGCUCAACUACUUUGUACUCUGUGCUUUGUUUGGGUGGAAGGAGACUUGCCUGAAACCUGGCAUGGGUCUCUAGUGAUUGGAAGCUGCCACUCUGACAGUUAUUUAAUGUUUCAGAAGCAAGGAGCUGGUGGGAAAAACUCUGCCAUUUGGUACAGAAGAAGGUUUGUUCCUCCAUUAGUUAAGGAUUUUGUGGCACCUGGCUUGGAUUCAGCCAACCGGACAAAGAGGAAACAGACCUCACAUCUUGACCUUCCUCCUUCACCCAGAAACCUUGUGGAAAAGCAGUCUGGUGCUUUGUUGGAUAGCUCUAGGAUAUGUGGAAAUAUUGCGGCCCCAUCACUGCUGUCCAAAGACUGUCAUCAGCGGAGCCAACAGAAGGGAUCACAUUCCCUUAGGUGCUGGUAUGCUUCAGCCACAAUAUUUAUUUGUGGCUGGAGCAAGAGGAUUCACUGUUGUUGGACUGGAGUCUUUGUUGUGGUGAGCACUGCCAGAUACACUAAGCACUUUAAAUAUCUGAGCAGAUGCAUCCUGGAAGCUCUGCCACUGGUGUCAGUUGGGAAUCCUAUUCCUUACCUUACAAAAUCCAGACUUAAUUUAUUUACUGUCUCCGAGACUCAGCUGCCAGGUUACUGCAUUUCUAAAGAUUUGGUCUUCUCCCUUCAUCAGUUUAACUUCAUGAUAAUGCCAUUUCACAAAACACUGAUACAGUUUUGCCUUCGCUUUCCUCCUGCUUGUCUCUCUGUCAAACACCCUCACUCUUUCAUUUUGAGUCUCUCUUCUGUCUCAGCUUUUUCUUCAUUCUUGCUUUGUCCUGUCUCAUUAGGUAUCCCUCAACCUUUGCACUUUUCAGACCAUCAUUACUCACUUCAAAGACAUUACUGA